GAUGAACGCUGGCGGCGUGCCUAAUACAUGCAAGUCGAGCGAACAGACGAGGAGCUUGCUCCUCUGACGUUAGCGGCGGACGGGUGAGUAACACGUGGAUAACCUACCUAUAAGACUGGGAUAACUUCGGGAAACCGGAGCUAAUACCGGAUAAUAUAUUGAACCGCAUGGUUCAAUAGUGAAAGACGGUUUUGCUGUCACUUAUAGAUGGAUCCGCGCCGCAUUAGCUAGUUGGUAAGGUAACGGCUUACCAAGGCAACGAUGCGUAGCCGACCUGAGAGGGUGAUCGGCCACACUGGAACUGAGACACGGUCCAGACUCCUACGGGAGGCAGCGGUAGGGAAUCUUCCGCAAUGGGCGAAAGCCUGACGGGGCAACGCCGCGUGAGUGAUGAAGGUCUUCGGUUCGUAAAACUCUGUUAUGAGGGAAGAACAAAUGUGUAAGUAACUAUGCACGUCUUGACGGUACCAAAUCAGAAAGCCACGGCUAACUCCGU
Molecule: ribosomal RNA, 496 nt
Filed under: uncultured bacterium
Lineage: Bacteria
Description: partial 16S ribosomal RNA
Rfam family: Bacterial small subunit ribosomal RNA
Source: RNAcentral